CGGAACUGGUGGCAGAGACGGGCUUCACACCCCAGGAGGUGCAGG
Molecule: transfer RNA, 45 nt
Filed under: Karenia brevis
Lineage: Eukaryota; Dinophyceae; Gymnodiniales; Kareniaceae
Description: partial Selenocysteine transfer RNA
Source: RNAcentral